Molecule: ribosomal RNA, 367 nt
Filed under: uncultured soil bacterium
Lineage: Bacteria
Description: bacterial SSU rRNA
Rfam family: Bacterial small subunit ribosomal RNA
Source: RNAcentral
AGGACGAACGCUGGCGGCGUGCUUAACACAUGCAAGUCGAGCGGUAAGGCCCUUUCGGGGGUACACGAGCGGCGAACGGGUGAGUAACACGUGAGUAAUCUGCCCUCCACUUGGGGAUAAGCUUCGGAAACGGGGUCUAAUACCUGAUACGACAACUACCUGCAUGGGUUGUUGUGGAAAGUUUUUUCGGUGGGGAUGUGCUCGCGGCCUAUCAGUCUUGUUGGGUGGGGUAAUGGCCUUAACCGAAGGCUUCGGACGGGUAGCCGGCCUGAGAGGGUGACCGGCCACACGUGGGACUGAGACACGGCCCAGUACUCCGUACGGGAGGCAGCAGGUGGGAAUGUGACAGUGGCGAGCUGACUCCAGC